RNAcentral lists this ribosomal RNA (1025 nucleotides) under Mycena sp. 2 EL-2015. RNAcentral's name for it is "eukaryotic LSU rRNA". The stretch from base 630 to 1025 matches the Rfam family "Eukaryotic large subunit ribosomal RNA", at positions 1 to 391 of the family's 3401-position model. The record is from RNAcentral. Lineage: Eukaryota; Fungi; Basidiomycota; Agaricomycetes; Agaricales; Mycenaceae.
GAGGAAGUAAAAGUCGUAACAAGGUUUCCGUAGGUGAACCUGCGGAAGGAUCAUUAUUGAAUAGUAUUGAGCGUUGUGCUGGCCUUUCGGGGCAUGUGCACGCGUUCAGCAUUAUCUUUCUUCUUGUGAACCAGUGUGGGAUUUGGAAUGAGCGGGCUUCAUUGACUGCAAGUUCUGGAGACCAUUUUUAUAAAUGUCAAAACGUUAUCUGAAUGUCAUCUUUGUUGCUGGCGCAAGCUAGUGAUAUAAACUAUAUACAACUUUCAACAACGGAUCUCUUGGCUCUCCCAUCGAUGAAGAACGCAGCGAAAUGCGAUAAGUAAUGUGAAUUGCAGAAUUCAGUGAAUCAUCGAAUCUUUGAACGCACCUUGCGCUCUUUGGUAUUCCGAAGAGCAUGCCUGUUUGAGUGUCAUUAAAUUCUCAACCUUAUGAAUGCUUUUGUGUUUGUAAGGCUUGGACGUGAGGGCUUUGCUGGCUUCCUUCAGUGGCGGUCUGCUCCCUUUAAAUGCAUUAGUGGGAUCCUUUGUGGAUAGCCGUUUGGUGUGAUAAUUUAUCUACGCUGUUCGCGCUUGAAGCAAGACUUAUGGGAACCCGCUUCUAACCGUCUGUAAUGGACAAUUUUUUGAACUUGACCUCAAAUCAGGUAGGACUACCCGCUGAACUUAAGCAUAUCAAUAAGCGGAGGAAAAGAAACUAACAAGGAUUCCCCUAGUAACUGCGAGUGAAGCGGGAAAAGCUCAAAUUUAAAAUCUGGCUGCUUCGCAGUCCGAGUUGUAAUUUAGAGAAGUGUUACCCGUGCUGGACCGUGUAUAAGUCUCUUGGAAUAGAGUAUCAUAGAGGGUGAGAAUCCCGUCUUUGACACGGACUACCAGUACAUUGUGGUGCGCUCUCGAAGAGUCGAGUUGUUUGGGAAUGCAGCUCAAAAUGGGUGGUAAAUUCCAUCUAAAGCUAAAUAUUGGGGGAGAGACCGAUAGCGAACAAGUACCGUGAGGGAAAGAUGAAAAGAACUUUGGAAAGAGAGUUAA